Long non-coding RNA from Chrysemys picta bellii (western painted turtle), 1011 nucleotides. RefSeq lists it as uncharacterized. The record is from RefSeq and is a predicted model, not a curated record. NCBI's taxonomy places the organism in Eukaryota, Metazoa, Chordata, Testudines, Emydidae.
CCCUGAACCACAGGGGGGAAAGGAGCAGAACAUGGGGCCACUGGAUGGCCCCAAACUGGCAGCUCCUCUGGCGCGGCUGUGCCGCCCCAGCCCUGUCCUCCAGCGGGGCUGCUGCUGUACAGACGGAGGAGAUCCUGCAUGGAAGGCCUGGGGCGAUAGAACCGCAUGGAGGAGCUGCGGGCAUGGGGCUCCCCAGUGGCCCCACUUCUGCUUCUUUCGCUGCUGCGGUUCUGAAGUCUUCAGCACAGCAGGAGGAGGACAGAGCCCCUGUCUCCAAGUCUCACAGCGCUUUGCCUAGGAGAUCGGUUUCGUCAACGGCCCUUUUGCAGAUGGGAAAACAGAGGCACAGAGAAGGAGAUGACUUGCCCAAGGUGUGGUACAAACAUUACCUCGUGAACCUCCCAACAUCUCUCUGAGGAUAAAUGGAUAAGUAUGAACUCCACUUCACAAAUGGGGAAACUGAGGCACGGAGCUGUGACAUGAUUUGCUGAAGGCCGCAGAGUCUCCAACACAACCAUCAUCUAAAACCCUGGCACUUGUGCGACCCAGUCCUGUGCUCAGGCUUCUAGCCUGUGACUGCAACUCAAAACAAGCUCUUCUAAAAGCGUGGGCUGUGAAGCCUGGCCUAGCAGAACCCAAAGGCGCUCUGAGCUCCUGCGCUGGGAGGGCUGGGCAGACAGCUUGCUCACGCCCUUUGAGAAGGCAGCAUGUCCUAUCCCUGAGCUGUUGCUGCCCAUCAGUGUAGGGAGUGGUGUUGAAGGGCUGCAGUUGAGGCCUGUGGCCAGCGAGAAAGAUGAACUAGCACUUAGGGCAGUGGACUGGGGUGUGGGUUUAAGUCCUGCCUCUGCCACAGCCUCCCUGUGUGACAUUGAGCAAGUCACCUAGGGCAAGAUGAUCAAAGGUAUUUAGGUGCAUCUAGGGUGACCGUAAGUCCCAUGUUAGUUAGGACAGUCCCUUUUUUAAGCCCUGUCCCGGCCGUCCUGACUUUUCUGGCAAAACUGGGCCUUUGUC